RNAcentral lists this ribosomal RNA (465 nucleotides) under Vreelandella stevensii. RNAcentral's name for it is "partial 16S ribosomal RNA". It matches the Rfam family "Bacterial small subunit ribosomal RNA", at positions 338 to 795 of the family's 1533-position model. Lineage: Bacteria; Pseudomonadati; Pseudomonadota; Gammaproteobacteria; Oceanospirillales; Halomonadaceae. The record is from RNAcentral.
CCUACGGGGGGCAGCAGUGGGGAAUAUUGGACAAUGGGGGGAACCCUGAUCCAGCCAUGCCGCGUGUGUGAAGAAGGCCCUCGGUUUGUAAAGCACUUUCAGUGAGGAAGAACGCCUGGUGGUUAAUACCCAUCAGGAAAGACAUCACUCACAGAAGAAGCACCGGCUAACUCCGUGCCAGCAGCCGCGGUAAUACGGAGGGUGCGAGCGUUAAUCGGAAUUACUGGGCGUAAAGCGCGCGUAGGUGGCUUGAUAAGCCGGUUGUGAAAGCCCCGGGCUCAACCUGGGAACGGCAUCCGGAACUGUCAAGCUAGAGUGCAGGAGAGGAAGGUAGAAUUCCCGGUGUAGCGGUGAAAUGCGUAGAGAUCAGGAGGAAUACCAGUGGCGAAGGCGGCCUUCUGGACUGACACUGACACUGAGGUGCGAAAGCGUGGGUAGCAAACAGGAUUAGAUACCCCAGUAGUC